RNAcentral lists this ribosomal RNA (381 nucleotides) under uncultured bacterium. RNAcentral's name for it is "bacterial SSU rRNA". It matches the Rfam family "Bacterial small subunit ribosomal RNA", at positions 29 to 414 of the family's 1533-position model. The record is from RNAcentral.
AAUGAACGUUGGCAGCGUGGAUUAGGCAUGCAAGUCGAGCGACAAGGUCCUUCGGACUGGAGGAGCGGCAACGGGGUAGGUAAUACAUCGGAACGUACCCUCACGUCUGGGAUAGCCACGGGAAACUGUGGGUAAUACUGGAUAAUCUCACCGCUUGUGAAGAGUGGUGAGCAAAGGUCCGCCGCGUGAGGAGCGGCCGAUGCGAUACUAGAUAGUUGGUGGGGUAAUGGCCUACCAAGUCUAAGAUGUCUAGGGGGUGUGAGAGCAUGGCCCCCACCACUGGGACUGAGACACUGCCCAGACACCUACGGGUGGCUGCAGUCGAGAAUCUUUGGCAAUGGGCGCAAGCCUGACCAAGCGACGCUGCGUGCGGGAUGAAGG